AUUGAACGCUGGCGGCAGGCCUAACACAUGCAAGUCGAGCGGAUGAAGGGAGCUUGCUCCUGGAUUCAGCGGCGGACGGGUGAGUAAUGCCUAGGAAUCUGCCUGGUAGUGGGGGAUAACGUCCAGAAACGGGCGCUAAUACCGCAUACGUCCUGAGGGAGAAAGUGGGGGAUCUUCGGACCUCACGCUAUCAGAUGAGCCUAGGUCGGAUUAGCUAGUUGGUGGGGUAAAGGCCUACCAAGGCGACGAUCCGUAACUGGUCUGAGAGGAUGAUCAGUCACACUGGAACUGAGACACGGUCCAGACCCCUACGGGAGGCAGCAGUGGGGAAUAUUGGACAAUGGGCGAAAGCCUGAUCCAGCCAUGCCGCGUGUGUGAAGAAGGUCUUCGGAUUGUAAAGCACUUUAAGUUGGGAGGAAGGGCAGUAAGUUAAUACCUUGCUGUUUUGACGUUACCAACAGAAUAAGCACCGGCUAACUUCGUG
Molecule: ribosomal RNA, 484 nt
Filed under: uncultured bacterium
Lineage: Bacteria
Description: partial 16S ribosomal RNA
Rfam family: Bacterial small subunit ribosomal RNA
Source: RNAcentral